UUAAAAAGCUCGUAGUUGAAUUUCGGGAUCAAUAUUUCGGUCAUGCCGUUGGUAUGCACUGUUAUCAUUGAUUUCUCACCUUCUAAAGAACCGUAAUGCCAUUAAUUUGGCGUUACGGGAAAUUAGGACUGUUACCUUGAAAAAAUUAGAGUGUUUAAAGCAGGCUCACGCUUGAAUACAUUAGCAUGGAAUAAUGAAAUAGGACAUCCGAUUCUAUUUUGUUGGUUUCUAGGAUCGAUGUAAUGAUUAAUAGGGAUAGUUGGGGG
RNAcentral lists this ribosomal RNA (266 nucleotides) under uncultured Glomus. RNAcentral's name for it is "partial 18S ribosomal RNA". It matches the Rfam family "Eukaryotic small subunit ribosomal RNA", at positions 619 to 888 of the family's 1831-position model. The record is from RNAcentral. Lineage: Eukaryota; Fungi; Glomeromycota; Glomeromycetes; Glomerales; Glomeraceae.